UACAGAGGGUGCGAGCGUUGUUCGGAAUUAUUGGGCGUAAAGGGCGCGUAGGCGGUGCGGCAAGUCACCUGUGAAAUCUCCUGGCUCAACUGGGAGCUUGCAGGCGAAACUGCCGUGCUGGAGUGUGGGAGAGGUGCGUGGAAUUCCUGGUGUAGCGGUGAAAUGCGUAGAUAUCAGGAGGAACACCUGUGGCGAAAGCGGCGCACUGGACCACAACUGACGCUGAGGCGCGAAAGCGUGGGGAGCAAACAGG
This 253-nucleotide ribosomal RNA is filed under the name uncultured bacterium. RNAcentral describes it as "partial 16S ribosomal RNA". It matches the Rfam family "Bacterial small subunit ribosomal RNA", at positions 524 to 776 of the family's 1533-position model. The record is from RNAcentral.